CUGCCGCCCCGGGGAUCCUGAGCCCGCGGCGCGCUCACCCUUCUCCUUGGUCAUGAUGGAGAUGAGCGGCAUCCGCGGGCGGUCACUGAACACUUCAGCCUGCUGCACUAGCGCCUCGCGCACGCUGUGGAAGUCGCUGAGGACCACCACCAGACGGUGGCCGAUGAAGAAGCUGAAGAUGUUGCCAUAGACACGGGCCAUCCUGGCCAGGUUCACAUGCUGGCCCACCGUGUCCGUCUGGCUGCCCGAGCUCAGCCAGAACUGAGGCCGCAGGAAGCGUGGCACCAGCAAGUGCCCGAAGUUACCCACGAGUGGCCGAGGCUUGGGCCCCGGAGGGAUGCCGCAUGCGCGCUGCCGCCGCAGCCAAACCCAGCCCAGCAGCACCGCCAGCACGCAAAGCAGCAGCGCGCCUCCGGUCGCCCGCACGUGCAGUCUAGCUCCGGGCUGCUCCCCUGCCGCGGGACGCGGGCCCCCGAGCGAGGACAUGCCCCAGGUGCCGCCUGCGUCUAGCUCCGCCGCAGAAGCACCAGCACCUGCGACAGUAGCCGGCUACUUGACUCGAAGGUCAACCGCGAGACAGGGCAAGGCACACCCUUCCGAUUGGUUGCGCCGCGUGCCCCUCUCGGCAUCCUCCAGUCAGCUGCUCCUGCAUAGGAAGAAGAUGAAAUGUCAGCUGUCAUGUUGGUGAAGUGUCUGAGACUGCUUAAAAACUGAACAAGUCAGGAUGGACUCCUGGGUCUGAGACAAAGGGCUUUAUUUAAAGUACACUGUAGCAGCCCAUGAGAACAUAUUACUUGGGACUCCCUAGUCCUCCAAGGUUCACAGUGAGGGACACUGAGGAAGUCAAGGUGGAUGCCACAUAGGUAUUGUCUGCAUCUCGGCUGAGUAAUCUGAACCUUGCAUCCCUGUCAUGCUCAGCAAAUAUAUGCUAAGAGGGAUGCUGAGGGCCCAUGGUGGGGUGAAACAAAAUCUAGACCUCACUGCCCAUAGAAAUAAUUACCUUCCUGUUUCCUGGACCGUAAUGCUGGUUAGUGAUUUGAUCUUUUCAAUAUAUGACUUGGCAGCUGCGUUAGUUCUUUUUCUGUUGCUGUGUUACAAUACCAUGACCAAGGCAACUUAGAGAAGAAAGGAUUUGAUUGACAGUUCCAGAGGGGUAAGAGUAUGUCAUGGGGAAACAUGGGAGCAAGCCGCAGGCAUGGAAGAAGGAGCAGAAAGCUGAGAGCUCAUCUUGAACUGCAAGCAUGAAGUAGAGAGUGAACUAGUGCACUAGAGUGCACGUCUUUAACUCUGGAAGCCCACCCCAUGCGCCAUGCCUCAGCUCCAAUAAGACCACACCUCCUGAGCCUCUCCAAACACACCACCAACUGGGGGCCAUGGGUUCAAAUGCCCACGGUGGGGAACAUCUCAUUCAACAGCAGUUACAGGUGUGUUGGCACUGCAUCCCAACAGCAGGGCUGCAUCUAUCAGCAACUCUGGUGACACGCACACGCUGACACUCAGGUACCUGGUGAACAAAGGUUGCUUUGCUGUCUUCCUAUCUUUCAGGAGAUAAAAAUGUCAGGUUGAGUAUCAUCACAACAUUCCCAUCACCUCUAGACAGAAUGGCAUCAUUAUCUGGAGGGAAUGAAGGCUCUUUGCAAGCCUGUGAUCACAGCGAUCUGUGGUCUCUGAACAGAACACCCUAUAAUCUCGGAGCUGAGCCCACUGUUAAAACAGGCAGAGAGGUGACACUGUUCCACUCCCCAGUGUGGUGGGGAUAGGUUGUAAAACUCUGCCACUGAACUAGUGGAGACUUUGAUCCACGGUCGCAGUCUAGUCCUCAUGCUGGGACUCGCAGGCACACGAUGACUCUAAGAUCAGUAACUGAAACACAAGCCUCUCACCCAGCGUGGGUGGCAACCAACUUUUCUACGACCACUCUCAUUUUCGUUUUAUGUUCGUUAUUGCUCGGGAGCCUUGCACACGGUUUCGGGCAUGUGAAGCGUCCCCUUGGCUCUGCAGUGGAGGCAGCUUAAGGAGUGAACAGGGGGCCCAGGUCAGUCCACUCUUUCCCUCAAGCACUUCUUAAAGCACAGGGAGAACUUGAUGCUUUCACAGGAAGCCCACUAGGGGGAGCUUCCGACCAAGAAAACAAAAGGACCAAUCAGCCUGUUAGCAGAAGCUCUGGACUUAGUUCAAGGGACCAUUCACAUCAGUACCACACAUUGUAGACAAGCAUAGGCUGAGGCUGCGGCUGUGCCUGACACAGCAGCUGGCCUGUAAUCCAGAGAGGACAUCACUGGGAUGAGCUUCCCAGCCACCCUGGCAGAUAGGACACAGGAUCUCUGUGGACCUUUGCUCUGUCACUUUCAGACCGCACAGGGAUAAAGGCUGCACCACACCCAGCAACCCCAUCUCCGAGCCCAAUGUCUUACCUAGCCCCCUCAUCCCAGUGGGCUGCUUUUACUUAGUUUCAUUUCAACUUCAUCAGGGAGUCCAAAUGUAACCUUCUGAAACCUGCCUUGGACACCGCUAGGGGUCCGGUUGAGGUCAUUACACAGAGGACACUGCUGUGACAUUUCCUGUAGAACUUGGAGGCCAGAAAAGAACCUCCUUAUAUUGAGGGAUUAGUGAGCUUGCUUAUGUCAACAGUAAUAAUCUAAACUUGGAUUGUAUAACUGAUUUUUUUAAAUCCAUAAAUGUCCUAAUUUUUUAACCUAAAAAUUUGUUGAUAGGAAAAAUAAUAAAUUUUAGUUUACUU
This 2740-nucleotide long non-coding RNA is filed under the name Mus pahari (shrew mouse). RNAcentral's name for it is "RIKEN cDNA 4930534D22 gene (MGP_PahariEiJ_G0003534.1)". The record is from RNAcentral. Lineage: Eukaryota; Metazoa; Chordata; Mammalia; Rodentia; Muridae.